GUGGAAAAGAAAAGUUGGUGUUCAAGAACUUGUAUAUAUGUUUUGAUACGUUAAAAAUGGGUCAAAAAAUUUGUUGCAAAUUGAUUAUUAGGCUCGAUCCACAUUCUCUAAAGACGGAAGUUAUUACUUUUUUUUGUUGUCUUAAUUUUUUAUUUUUUAUUUUUUAUUUUAUUUUUUUUAUAUUUUAAUAUUUUAUUUCAAUUGUUAUGUUGGUAGGGAAUUAUUGAAGAAGUAGAUGAGUUACCACCACUUGUCAAGCAUAAACAUUGUGUUCGACACAUCUACUCUAAUUAGACAAAGAAGUGGAAAUGAAGAGCUAAAAGUACAAAUAGGACAUUUCAAGACAUAUAGUAGUGCUCGAUAACGUAGCUGAAGGAUCAAUUAAUGAUGCAGUUAAGACUAGCCCGAAAGGUAAGUUAAAGCUUUCUUCAAUAUAGGACAGAUGUUACAUAGUAGAUAACAACUUAGCGAAGACGUCCAAUUCAUUGAUUUUGGAACCUAGAUACAAGUCUGUGAUUAGUGUGCUUGAUGAUAUUAAGGCAACAUAUAUGAUUAAACUACAUAUAAAGAGAAAGUUGAUCGAGAAGUGGGUUACCAACAUUUACACCAAAAGUUACAAUGAGGCUUUAGAAAGCGAAGGUCGAUUCAUGCCAAUUUCAUGGAAUGGUAACAAGGGUUUUAAGGUCCAAUUAGGAGAUGAACAACAUAUAGUCCAUUCCGAGACAUGAUGUCCUC
RNAcentral lists this long non-coding RNA (735 nucleotides) under Carica papaya (papaya). RNAcentral describes it as "long non-coding RNA (CPAP_LNC009336)". The record is from RNAcentral. Lineage: Eukaryota; Viridiplantae; Streptophyta; Magnoliopsida; Brassicales; Caricaceae.